This 58-nucleotide small nuclear RNA is filed under the name Rhodomonas abbreviata. RNAcentral describes it as "partial Dictyostelium signal recognition particle". Lineage: Eukaryota; Cryptophyceae; Pyrenomonadales; Pyrenomonadaceae. The record is from RNAcentral.
UGCAACGAAGCAGCCAUCGUGGCGGCCCGGCGGGACAAGAAGAAAGUCGACCUGAAGG